RNAcentral lists this ribosomal RNA (161 nucleotides) under uncultured bacterium. RNAcentral describes it as "partial 16S ribosomal RNA". It matches the Rfam family "Bacterial small subunit ribosomal RNA", at positions 355 to 507 of the family's 1533-position model. The record is from RNAcentral.
UGAGGAAUUUUGCGCAAUGGGGGAAACCCUGACGCAGCAACGCCGCGUGGGUGAAGAAGGCUUUCGGGUCGUAAAGCCCUGUCAGGUGGGAAGAACCGUUUCGAUACUAAUAAUGUCGAAGCCUGACGGUACCACCAGAGGAAGCACCGGCCAACUCCGUG